RNAcentral lists this small RNA (30 nucleotides) under Bombyx mori (domestic silkworm). RNAcentral's name for it is "ovarian small RNA-20415". The record is from RNAcentral. Lineage: Eukaryota; Metazoa; Arthropoda; Insecta; Lepidoptera; Bombycidae.
UACAUGAGACACCUGGAGGGAUGUCCCUCU